Molecule: transfer RNA, 71 nt
Filed under: Gerygone igata
Lineage: Eukaryota; Metazoa; Chordata; Aves; Passeriformes; Acanthizidae
Description: tRNA-Val
Rfam family: tRNA
About the family: Transfer RNA (tRNA) molecules are approximately 80 nucleotides in length. Their secondary structure includes four short double-helical elements and three loops (D, anti-codon, and T loops).
Source: RNAcentral
CGAGACGUAGCUUUAACCGAAAGCAUUCAGCUUACACCUGAAAGAUGCCUGCUCACACCAGGUCGUCUCGA